GGGGGCCGUGAGGGCGGCUCUGUGACACCGAGCCGGUGCCGUGCUCCUUGUGUGGCACUGCCCGUGUGGCACUGCCCCUCGCUCGUGUGCCAUCGCGCCUCGCUGCUGGGCUACAGCUGCUGUCACGCAGCGCGGAGAGAAGGGCAUCAUCGCCUUCCCGUCACGGAGCAGCCAUGGCUGCCUCUGCCCAAGCCCCUUCUCCCUCCGGUGCCGUGGCUGGUGCUGGCACAGCCGCGGGCAGAGCCCUGUGCGGGUGGCCCCGCGCCUUUGUUCUGAUGGCCCGGCUCGGGUCAGCCCGGCGCGGUCACCCCGUGCCAGGCCGCAGCUGGAGGCUGGCCCCGCUCCGUGCGGCUCUCCCGGGAGCUCCCCGGCCAUCUGCGGGUCAAUGAGACACAGCCGGCAGCAUCUGGCAGGCACGGCCACGGGAGCUGAAAUCAUUCAGCAGCGAGAGGCGGCGCGGGGAUCAGGCAGGGCAGUUGCAUUUCGGGCAGCGGGUCAGGGUGCACAGAUCUCGCUAAUUUGUAUGACUCGGAUGAAUGCGGUUCAAGCGCAGCAGCCGGGACAAUACAGCGGGAGCCAUUGUCUGAGCGCAGGGAGGUUCGCUGGAGCUGCAGGCGCCCGUGCCUUGGUUACGUGUCUCCCAUCAGCGAUACGACAGCGACACGGCAGAACGCAGCGCACAGGUUUAUUCAUCCCCGCGUCCUUGCACACCGUGGCUCGGAGAGCUGCUCCCCCGUGACCUUACCUAUUUUAUGGUGCUACUCUUCAUGCUGUUUGUACGCCCUGAAGAGCAGAUCUCCCCUGCCCGAACACGGCAGAUGCUUCCUUUCCAUUCGUACAGGCACAUGUGUGCAGUCUUUUCCUGAUAAAUUGUUCUAGCAUAGAGUUCCUAAAAAUAUAUGAAGUAAAAAAAAAUAUAUAUAUUAAUUAGGAAAGCAGUAAUUUUGAAUAAGAAACUCAGCCCUUAAAGUAAAUCUUUUUAGAUUUUUAGCUCAGCUUUAAGUAUAACUUACAGAAAGGAAGCAGAGAUUCCUUUUUUACUGCAGUAAACAGUGCCCUUUAGCGGGCAAAUUGCUGGUUAGAAACUUCCCUGACUAAAAAACUCCUCUAGUUCCUCUGUAUGAGGAGUGUCUAGUUUAGGAGUAUGGAAAAGAUAAUAUGGAGGAAUAACAGGGAAAGAAACAAUAGAAAAAAAUGUGUCUCAGUGGCUCAGUUUGGGGCAGCCAUAAAAAAAUUAUUUAUAAUGAAAAAAUUAUGUCACCAGUGCAGCCAAAGGUAGAGAAACAGAACACCCUCUUUUGGUUUAUAUUUUACAACUCCACAGUAUGUUUAAGUUGACGUUUCUUAUUUCCACUCUUAAAAUAUUCUUUAGAAAUAGUAAAUAGGGCUCCAGGUUUUGCAGUUAAUUUCAUUUUUUUCUUUAUGCAAACCAAAAUGUCACUGGUUCAUAAACACCUGUCACUUCCAGUGCUUUGUUACUUAUUCAACACAAGGUAUUAUUAUAUUUUUUUUAUUCCAUCACUUUUUGUGCCUUUUUUUUUUUUUUUUUUUUAAUACCAGGAAAGACAGAGACAAUGACAUGUACCAAUACAGUGAUGUGUAUUCUGCAGGAAAGCUAAUUAAAGCAGUGUGGAAAAAGAAAACUACACCAAGAUGGCAUGACCUAUACACUGGAAAACCUGUGUUGCCAGAACUCAGGAGACUCCUGUGGCAGCUGGAAGGCAACUAGAGGGUAACCACCCAUGUAUGCAAGCACAUCUCAUAGCAGCAAUCCAAGGGCAUUGCACAGUCAAGACAAAAUAUAUUUUACCAGUGAGGAGGAGAUGGCAGAGAGAUUGAACUUCUUAUCCAGACCCACAGAGUUUGUGAGCAUGAAAUCGAAACCACACUUUGGGCACUGUUUGAAUGCUCCAACUGUAUGAAAUACAAACACAAGAGGAAGAAAUUCUCAGGCUGCUUUUCUUUGGAAUGUGUUGCACUGAAGUGAAUGGCAAACCUCUGUAUAUCCUCACAGACACACUGAUGUGAGGGUGUGGGAUAAAAGUGGGUUUUCAUCAAGUUCUUCCAGGCAUGAAGUGAGCAAAAGGUGGAUUGAAGACACACUGCAAUGAAAGAAAAAAAGGAAGUAAUAAAUGGAGAAAGGAAGCAAAAAAUUGGCUUACAGGGAUGAAAUGCUGCAGAGGAUUAGUCUGCAGGAGAGAGCUGCAGUGACAACCAAUGAUCUAAAUCCGCUUCUGGACUGAAGAGAGCCCAAGUUACACCAGACUGUCACAGCUGACCCACUUGGUACACCUGACAGUGUCUCAGUGGAGAGACCAAGAAGUGGAUGUGAGUAGAACCUGAUACAUCACUCUGGGACCAGGCUUUUCUGAACAAAAUCAAAUGUUUUUGAGAGUACAAAAUGCUGCAGACCCCUGGAUAUUGCAGACCAGAAAAUGUCACCAUUCCCUGGACAGAAAUCUACCUUCACCAGCUGGGUUUGGCUAAAAUUCCAGUAUUGUUUCUUUAAGGGCCCCUCCGUCCCUCUCCUGAUUUUUCUCUCUCUCCAAUUUAUUGAACACAUUCCAGCUAUCAGUAUUGAGCACUAUUUCCUUGGCACUGAGGCUUCAGUGGGGUUGAACCAAGACUCAGCUGCACAGCUCUUGCUGUGCAAAUCAAACCAUAGGGCAAUAACGUACAUCACUGGGCUGGGAAUGUAGAGUAAAGAGUUCUUUAUGAGAUGUUUUAGUUCAGAGACCCCAUUUGCAUUCAUUCUUUACAGUGGAUUUUUCUUCAGCCAAAGAAUCUUCCUCUCCUUACCUGUUUUACAAAUGGGUUGGAGAUUUGGCUUCUUUCUGUUCAGUGAGAACACCUCCCACCUUCAUCUUGCACUGUAUUUUACUCAGCAGCAUCCUCAACAUUUACUCUGCCUAUGACAUCACCUGUACCAAACUUCCAAAGGCUGUUUGGGACAUGCAGUUGCUGGUAGGACUUUUUGAAGACAGAAGGUUUGUGCAAGUUUAACUUGGAGCAUGAACUGGUGACAGCAAUUUUGUUAUGUGGUAUUGGAGGAGUACUGCAAGGUACCCCAUACAAACAAAGCAUCAUGUGAGGUUUUUGUCCAGAACACUGAAUUGCAGUACAGAGCUGGUGCUUCUGUGGCUGGCAGGAACAUGGCAGUACCCAUGAGGACAGACACUGUCCUUCAGUGGAAAUAUGAGUGCAGAUUGUCAAAUAUUUUUAUUCUGGAUGCAAAUGACGUCUUGCUGCUUUUGCUGAUCACUUGCUAGUGGAGAUUGACACCCAUUUGCAGAAGAAUCAGCACAUAGACUUUCAAAGUUACCAAUGGGGAACCUCUGCACAGAACUGCAUAAUCUUCAACCAGGACUUCAUUCCUUUGCUCAUAACACUCUCUGCUUACCAAAUUAUCCAUUGAACUCCUGUGCUCCUCCAAAAGAAAAAAAGAAAAAGGAAAUGAAGUGCAAAGCAGGAAGGUCUCCACCAGCCUCCAGGCAGCAGCUUUCAGGCAGUCAGUUCCCCAGAACCAUCAACCAGCAGGUGCUGAGCCCAUCCCACUACAACAAGAGCUCCAGCCUCUAAUGCCACCCAUUCCCAAAACAUAAGAGCAAAGCUUAUUUUAAAAUCCUGAUAUAAGAGGCGCUAUUUUAAGCUUGCUGCCCCUUAAAACUUGAAAGUUAAGUUAAAUCAGGCAUUGGAAUAAGUUGCCCAGAGAGGUGGUGGAGUCACCACCCGUGGAGGUGUUUAAGAGGCAUCUGGACGCGGCACUGGGUGAUGUGAUUUAGUGGU
Oenanthe melanoleuca is the source of this 3786-nucleotide long non-coding RNA. RefSeq lists it as uncharacterized. NCBI's taxonomy places the organism in Eukaryota, Metazoa, Chordata, Aves, Passeriformes, Muscicapidae. The record is from RefSeq and is a predicted model, not a curated record. The transcript has 9 exons.